GAUGAACGCUGGCGGCGUGCCUAAUACAUGCAAGUCGAGCGAACAGACGAGGAGCUUGCUCCUCUGACGUUAGCGGCGGACGGGUGAGUAACACGUGGAUAACCCACCUAUAAGACUGGGAUAACUUCGGGAAACCGGAGCUAAUACCGGAUAAUAUAUUCAACCGCAUGGUUCAAUAGUGAAAGACGGUUUUGCUUUCACUUAUAGAUGGAUCCGCGCGGCAUUAGGUAGUUGGUAAGGUAACGGCUUACCAAGGCACCGAUGGGUAGCCGACCUGGGAGGGUGUACGGCCACUGUGGGAGUGAGACGCGGUCCAGACACCGAGGGGAGGCAGCAGUAGGGAAGCUUCGGAAAAGGGCGAAAGACUGACGGAGCAACGCCGCGUGAGUGAUGAAGGUCUUCGGAUCGUAAAACUCUGUUAUUAGGGAAGAACAAAUGUAUAAGUAACUAUGCACGUCUUGACGGUACCUAAUCAGAAAGCCACGGCUAACUACGUG
RNAcentral lists this ribosomal RNA (497 nucleotides) under uncultured bacterium. Its description in RNAcentral is "partial 16S ribosomal RNA". It matches the Rfam family "Bacterial small subunit ribosomal RNA", at positions 28 to 507 of the family's 1533-position model. The record is from RNAcentral.